AACGUCCCAGUUCGGAUUGUAGUCUGCAACCCGACUACAUGAAGCUGGAAUCGCUAGUAAUCGCGAAUCAGAAUGUCGCGGUGAAUACGUUCCCGGGUCUUGUACACACCGCCCGUCACACCAUGGGAGUCGGAAAUGCCCGAAGUCAGUGACCCAACCGCAAGGAGGGAGCUGCCGAAGGUGGAGCCGGUAACUGGGGUGAAGUCGUAACAAGGUAGC
RNAcentral lists this ribosomal RNA (219 nucleotides) under uncultured bacterium. Its description in RNAcentral is "partial 16S ribosomal RNA". It matches the Rfam family "Bacterial small subunit ribosomal RNA", at positions 1282 to 1500 of the family's 1533-position model. The record is from RNAcentral.